This 233-nucleotide long non-coding RNA is filed under the name Marmota monax (woodchuck). The record is from RNAcentral. Lineage: Eukaryota; Metazoa; Chordata; Mammalia; Rodentia; Sciuridae.
UGCUCCCCUUCUCUUUGGUUUCAGGCUUACAUCACCAAAGCCUUUAGAUAAACAGUCACCUUCACAGCUGUUCAUUCCAAGCCAAUGACUACAUACUCCAGGGAAGGACCAAGGCUGAGAGGGAGGCUAUGCAUUCAAUGUCUGAUGCGCAAUCAUUGCCCUGAGCUGGCAUGUGGACAACAUUUGUAAUAGCAAUGCAGCAGAAGAAAAUAAAAUUACAAGCAUAAAAUGCC